RNAcentral lists this ribosomal RNA (496 nucleotides) under uncultured bacterium. RNAcentral's name for it is "partial 16S ribosomal RNA". It matches the Rfam family "Bacterial small subunit ribosomal RNA", at positions 28 to 507 of the family's 1533-position model. The record is from RNAcentral.
GACGAACGCUGGCGGCGUGCCUAAUACAUGCAAGUUGAGCGCUGAAGGUUGGUACUUGUACCAACUGGAUGAGCAGCGAACGGGUGAGUAACGCGUGGGGAAUCUGCCUUUGAGCGGGGGACAACAUUUGGAAACGAAUGCUAAUACCGCAUAAAAACUUUAAACACAAGUUUUAAGUUUGAAAGAUGCAAUUGCAUCACUCAAAGAUGAUCCCGCGUUGUAUUAGCUAGUUGGUGAGGUAAAGGCUCACCAAGGCGAUGAUACAUAGCCGACCUGAGAGGGUGAUCGGCCACAUUGGGACUGAGACACGGCCCAAACUCCUACGGGAGGCAGCAGUAGGGAAUCUUCGGCAAUGGACGAAAGUCUGACCGAGCAACGCCGCGUGAGUGAAGAAGGUUUUCGGAUCGUAAAACUCUGUUGGUAGAGAAGAACGUUGGUGAGAGUGGAAAGCGCAUCAAGUGACGGUAACUACCAGAAAGGGACGGCUAACUACGUG